UAAUUGGAGAGUUUGAUCCUGGCUCAGAACGAACGCUGGCGGCGUGCCUAACACAUGCAAGUCGAGGGAGAAAGCCCGCAAGGGUUAGUAAACCGGCGAACGGGUGCGUAACACGUGGAUAAUCUACCUCGGUGACUGGGAUAACUGGCCGAAAGGCUUGCUAAUACCAGAUAAGCCCACGGGGUCUUUGGACCCUGAGGGAAAAGGUGGCCUCUGCAUGCAAGCUAUCACAUCGAGAUGAGUCCGCGGCCCAUCAGCUAGUUGGCGGGGUAAAGGCCCACCAAGGCUACGACGGGUAGCUGGUCUGAGAGGAUGAUCAGCCACACUGGAACUGAGACACGGUCCAGACUCCUACGGGAGGCAGCAGUGGGGAAUCUUGCGCAAUGGGCGAAAGCCUGACGCAGCAACGCCGCGUGUGUGAUGAAGGUCUUCGGAUCGUAAAGCACUGUCGCGAGGGAAGAUACGCCCAUGGCCAACAUCCAUGGGCUGAGACGGUACCUCGAGAGGAAGCACCGGCUAACUCUGUGCCAGCAGCCGCGGUAAUACAGAGGGUGCGAGCGUUGUUCGGAAUUAUUGGGCGUAAAGCGCUUGUAGGCGGCCUGUUAAGUCGCGUGUGAAAUCCCCUGGCUUAACCAGGGAAGUGCGCGCGAAACUGGCGGGCUUGAGUGCCGGAGAGGGUCGCGGAAUU
Molecule: ribosomal RNA, 688 nt
Filed under: Deltaproteobacteria bacterium
Lineage: Bacteria; Pseudomonadati; Myxococcota; Myxococcia
Description: bacterial SSU rRNA
Rfam family: Bacterial small subunit ribosomal RNA
Source: RNAcentral